AUGAAGGAUCACAUAUUUCUCUCUCUCUCUCUCUCUCUCUCUCUCUCUCUCUCUCUGUAUGUGUGUGUAUGUGUGAGAGAGAGAGAGCGAGAGAGAGAGAGAGAAGUCAAGGAGAAUUUACAAACGAA
Non-coding RNA from Podarcis lilfordi (Lilford's wall lizard), 128 nucleotides. NCBI's taxonomy places the organism in Eukaryota, Metazoa, Chordata, Lepidosauria, Squamata, Lacertidae. The record is from the annotation of a GenBank genome assembly.